GUGCCAGCAGCCGCGGUAAUACGUAGGGCGCGAGCGUUGUCCGGAAUUAUUGGGCGUAAAGGGCUCGUAGGCGGUUUGUCGCGUCUAGCGUUUAAGGCUCGGGCUUAACCCGGGUUUGCGUUGGGUACGGGCAGGCUUGAGUGCGGUAGGGGUAACUGGAAUUCCUGGUGUAGCGGUGGAAUGCGCAGAUAUCAGGAGGAACACCGGUGGCGAAGGCGGGUUACUGGGCCGUUACUGACGCUGAGGAGCGAGAGCGUGGGGAGCGAACAGGAUUAGAUAC
This 280-nucleotide ribosomal RNA is filed under the name uncultured Actinomycetales bacterium. Its description in RNAcentral is "partial 16S ribosomal RNA". It matches the Rfam family "Bacterial small subunit ribosomal RNA", at positions 505 to 785 of the family's 1533-position model. The record is from RNAcentral. Lineage: Bacteria; Bacillati; Actinomycetota; Actinomycetes; Actinomycetales.